GUGUACGUACAAGCAGUGGGAGCACCCUUUGGGUGUGACUGCGUACCUUUUGUAUAAUGGGUCAGCGACUUAUAUUCUGUAGCAAGGUUAACCGAAUAGGGGAGCCGGAGGGAAACCGAGUCUUAAUUGGGCGUUAAGUUGCAGGGUAUAGACCCGAAACCCGGUGAUCUAGCCAUGGGCAGGUUGAAGGUUGGGUAACACUAACUGGAGGACCGAACCGACUAAUGUUGAAAAAUUAGCGGAUGACCUGUGGC
Molecule: ribosomal RNA, 254 nt
Filed under: Salmonella enterica subsp. enterica serovar Enteritidis
Lineage: Bacteria; Pseudomonadati; Pseudomonadota; Gammaproteobacteria; Enterobacterales; Enterobacteriaceae
Description: partial 23S ribosomal RNA
Rfam family: Bacterial large subunit ribosomal RNA
Source: RNAcentral